This 433-nucleotide ribosomal RNA is filed under the name uncultured bacterium. RNAcentral's name for it is "partial 16S ribosomal RNA". It matches the Rfam family "Bacterial small subunit ribosomal RNA", at positions 29 to 507 of the family's 1533-position model. The record is from RNAcentral.
AACGAACGCUGGCGGCAUGCCUAACACAUGCAAGUCGAACGAGACCUUCGGGUCUAGUGGCGCACGGGUGCGUAACGCGUGGGAACCUGCCCUUAGGUUCGGAAUAACUCCCCGAAAGGGGUGCUAAUACCGGAUAAUGUCUUCGGACCAAAGAUUUAUCGCCUUUGGAUGGGCCCGCGUUGGAUUAGCUAGUUGGUAGGGUAAAAGCCUACCAAGGCGACGAUCCAUAGCUGGUCUGAGAGGAUGAUCAGCCACACUGGGACUGAGACACGGCCCAGACUCCUACGGGAGGCAGCAGUGGGGAAUAUUAGACGAUGGGCGAAAGCCUGAUACAGCCAUGCCGCGUGAGUGAUGAAGGCCUUAGGGUUGUAGAGCUCUUUUAGCCGGGAUGAUAAUGACAGUACCGGGAGAAUAAGCUCCGGCUAACUACGUG